This 272-nucleotide ribosomal RNA is filed under the name uncultured bacterium. RNAcentral describes it as "partial 16S ribosomal RNA". The record is from RNAcentral.
CUGCUGCCUCCCGUAGGAGUCUGGGCCGUGUCUCAGUCCCAGUGUGGGGGGCCUUCCUCUCAGGACCCCUACGCAUCGUCGCCACGGUGGGCCGUCACCCCGCCGUCUAGCUAAUGCGCCGCAUGCCCAUCCGCCACCGGAUCGCUCCUUUGGCCACCGGAGGAUGCCCUCCGGUGGCGUCACGGGGUAUUAGGCCGCGUUUCCGCGGGUUAUCCCCCUGUGGCGGCCAGGUUGCAUACGUGUUACUCACCCGUGCGCCGGUCGCCGGCGGG